UACGUAGGUGGCGAGCGUUGUCCGGAUUUACUGGGCGUAAAGGGCGCGCAGGCGGCUGGUCAAGUCCGAUGUGAAAGCUCCCGGCUUAACUGGGAAAUUGCAUCGGAAACUGAUCGGCUGGAAGGUGGGAGAGGGUAGCGGAAUUCCCGGUGUAGUGGUGAAAUGCGUAGAUAUCGGGAGGAACACCAGUGGCGAAAGCGGCUACCUGGCCCAUUCUUGACGCUGAGGCGCGAAAGCUAGGGGAGCAAACGGG
Molecule: ribosomal RNA, 253 nt
Filed under: uncultured bacterium
Lineage: Bacteria
Description: partial 16S ribosomal RNA
Rfam family: Bacterial small subunit ribosomal RNA
Source: RNAcentral